RNAcentral lists this ribosomal RNA (79 nucleotides) under Clostridiales bacterium. Its description in RNAcentral is "partial 23S ribosomal RNA". The record is from RNAcentral. Lineage: Bacteria; Bacillati; Bacillota; Clostridia; Eubacteriales.
CGACCGGGUAGAUAGGUCAUCGGUGGAAGUUCGGUAACGGAUGGAGCUUGAUGAUACUAAUAGGUCGAGGGCUUGAUUU